Non-coding RNA from Brachypodium distachyon (stiff brome), 136 nucleotides. The record is from Rfam. NCBI's taxonomy places the organism in Eukaryota, Viridiplantae, Streptophyta, Magnoliopsida, Poales, Poaceae.
UUGCUUCUCCCUCCGUCCAACAAAAGAUGUCUCAAGUUUGUCAAAAUUUGGAUGUAUCUAGACAUGACUUAGUGUAUAGAUGCAUUCAAAUUUAGUGAAAGUUGAAACAUCCUUUAUUGGAUGGAGGGAGUACUUU